RNAcentral lists this ribosomal RNA (253 nucleotides) under uncultured bacterium. Its description in RNAcentral is "partial 16S ribosomal RNA". It matches the Rfam family "Bacterial small subunit ribosomal RNA", at positions 524 to 776 of the family's 1533-position model. The record is from RNAcentral.
UACGGAGGGGACUAGCGUUGUUCGGAAUUACUGGGCGUAAAGCGCACGUAGGCGGAUUUGUAAGUCAGGGGUGAAAUCCCGGGGCUCAACCUCGGAACUGCCUUUGAUACUGCAAAUCUCGAGUCCGGAAGAGGUGAGUGGAAUUCCUAGUGUAGAGGUGAAAUUCGUAGAUAUUAGGAAGAACACCAGUGGCGAAGGCGGCUCACUGGUCCGGUACUGACGCUGAGGAGCGAAAGCGUGGGGAGCAAACAGG